CGUUAAUGGACGCCCGUGUCUCUUUUCCUUUUCAUUUCCCCCUUUUCGAAAGGGGGGCAGAGAGGGAGCGAAAGGAGGAGGCGCUCGAGCGGCGGAGGGGACGAGGCGAUUUUAGUCUGGUUCAUGGCGGUGGCGAGAUCCCUCUCUCCUCGAGCUUGAGAGUUCUCCCCGAUUCGUUGUAUCUCAACAGGUAGACUGCGGAAAGUCUGUUGCAAGGAUGUUCCCCUAGUUUCUUCAGUCGAGAGUGCUGAUUCCUUGAAAGACCCUUAUGUGCCUAAUGAUUUUGCUGAUGAUGGUUCUAAUGCUAUGUCUUUGGGUUGUCCCGUUGAUGAUGAAGAGUUUGAUAAAGCACUUUACAAUUUCUAUGUGAAUAAUAAAGUCAAGUACCUGAAGAGAAAAUUAUCAUCUGCUGGCAGAAGGAAUGUUUUGAAAAGGAAAUUCAUCCCCUUAACUCUGACCCCUAUGUUCCUCAAGUAAAUCGUUAUUCGGUUUCUGCUCAAGAAAGGUGUCACCAUCUUGCCAUGAUUCAGAUUGCAAGUCAUCAGAAUGUUCAAAGCCCGUGUAGACAAUUUCUUGAUCUUGUGCGUGUGUCGUUAUCUAUUCAAUGAAGCUCACCCUUCCAUUUCUAAGAAGCAUUUCUUCUUCUCAUAUAUUGUUUGCUAAUAGUGCUUUUCCCAUGUGGAGAAGCAAUAUGGUGGUCUAGCGUGAAGAUUUUCUUGGUGGUCAACAAGACUGGAGAUUCAUCCAUCCUUUAUUAGCUUCGUAUAGUUUUCAUGAUGUGUUAGCUAUUUUGAUACAACAGUAUUAUUGGUCCAAGAAUGUUCUGAUUCAAUGUACUUUUUAGACCGAUAACUUGUAUCAUCGCCCCUGUAACAGUUUUAGGUUCCUUUUGUUACUGGAAUGCUUUUCUGGUGCAUUAUUAGCUAUUUUUACCUGAAUGGUU
This is an RNA transcript of Triticum aestivum (bread wheat), 943 nucleotides long. RefSeq lists it as uncharacterized. The transcript is spliced from 7 exons. The record is from RefSeq and is a predicted model, not a curated record. NCBI's taxonomy places the organism in Eukaryota, Viridiplantae, Streptophyta, Magnoliopsida, Poales, Poaceae.